This 273-nucleotide unclassified non-coding RNA is filed under the name Capnodiales sp. RNAcentral's name for it is "partial contains 5.8S ribosomal RNA, internal transcribed spacer 2, and large subunit ribosomal RNA". The stretch from base 1 to 71 matches the Rfam family "5.8S ribosomal RNA", at positions 84 to 154 of the family's 154-position model. The record is from RNAcentral. Lineage: Eukaryota; Fungi; Ascomycota; Dothideomycetes; Capnodiales.
GUGAGUCAUCGAAUCUUUGAACGCACAUUGCGCCCUCUGGUAUUCCGGGGGGCAUGCCUGUUCGAGCGUCAUUACACCAAUCAAGCCUGGCUUGGUAUUGGGACCCGGGGGUGACCCGGACCCGAAAAACGUCGGCUGGAGGACCCGUAUCUCAGCGUUGUGGAAACAAAUUCGCUGGCGAGAGGGGGAGCCCGGCCGUGAAAACUUCUCUAAGGUUGACCUCGGAUCGGGUAGGGAUACCCGCUGAACUUAAGCAUAUCAAUAAGCGGAGGA